GCACCAUUAGCUCAGUAGGUAGAGCGCAAGACUGUUAAUCUUGAGGCCAUUGGUUCGAUCCCAAUAUGGUGCG
Non-coding RNA from Mayamaea pseudoterrestris, 73 nucleotides. The record is from the annotation of a GenBank genome assembly. Lineage: Eukaryota; Bacillariophyta; Bacillariophyceae; Sellaphorales; Sellaphoraceae.